RNAcentral lists this ribosomal RNA (253 nucleotides) under uncultured bacterium. Its description in RNAcentral is "partial 16S ribosomal RNA". It matches the Rfam family "Bacterial small subunit ribosomal RNA", at positions 524 to 776 of the family's 1533-position model. The record is from RNAcentral.
UACGUAGGGGGCAAGCGUUGUCCGGAUUUACUGGGCGUAAAGAGCGCGCAGGCGGUCGUUCAAGUCGAGUGUGAAAGCCCCCGGCUCAACUGGGGAGGGUCACUCGAUACUGAUCGACUUGAAGGCAGGAGAGGGAAGCGGAAUUCCCGGUGUAGUGGUGAAAUGCGUAAAUAUCGGGAGGAACACCAGUGGCGAAGGCGGCUUCCUGGCCUGUUCUUGACGCUGAGGCGCGAAAGCUAGGGGAGCAAACGGG